Molecule: ribosomal RNA, 215 nt
Filed under: Nanosynbacter sp.
Lineage: Bacteria; Bacillati; Minisyncoccota; Nanosynbacteria; Nanosynbacterales; Nanosynbacteraceae
Description: Candidatus Nanosynbacter sp. partial 16S ribosomal RNA
Rfam family: Bacterial small subunit ribosomal RNA
Source: RNAcentral
UUUAUGGAGAGUUUGAUCCUGGCUCAGGACGAACGCUGGCGGCGUGCUUAACACAUGCAAGUCGAACGGGAUGAUCUUAAAGCUUGCUUUUAGAGAAUCUAGUGGCAAACGGGUGAGUAACACGUAGACAACCUGCCGACAGGAUGGGGACAACAUUCCGAAAGGAAUGCUAAUACCGAAUGAAGUCAGAGGAGGGCAUCCUCCUCUGAUGAAAG